RNAcentral lists this ribosomal RNA (420 nucleotides) under Nigrograna sp. RNAcentral's name for it is "partial large subunit ribosomal RNA". It matches the Rfam family "Eukaryotic large subunit ribosomal RNA", at positions 77 to 501 of the family's 3401-position model. The record is from RNAcentral. Lineage: Eukaryota; Fungi; Ascomycota; Dothideomycetes; Pleosporales; Nigrogranaceae.
GCCCUAGUAACGGCGAGUGAAGCGGCAACAGCUCAAAUUUGAAAUCUGGGUCUUUCAGGCUCCGAGUUGUAAUUUGUAGAGGGCGCUUUGGUGUUGGCUGCGGUCUAAGUUCCUUGGAACAGGACGUCACAGAGGGUGAGAAUCCCGUACGUGGUCGACAGUCUUCACCGUGUAAAGCCCCUUCGACGAGUCGAGUUGUUUGGGAAUGCAGCUCUAAAUGGGAGGUAAAUUUCUUCUAAAGCUAAAUAUUGGCCAGAGACCGAUAGCGCACAAGUAGAGUGAUCGAAAGAUGAAAAGCACUUUGGAAAGAGAGUCAAAAAGCACGUGAAAUUGUUGAAAGGGAAGCGCUUGCAAUCAGACUUACCUGUAGUUGCUCACCUAGGCUCUUGCCUAGUGCACUCUUCUGCAAGUAGGCCAGCA